GACGAACGCUGGCGGCGUGCCUAACACAUGCAAGUCGAGCGAAUGAAGUUUCUUCGGGAACGGAUUUAGCGGCGGACGGGUGAGUAACACGUGGGCAACCUGCCUCAUAGAGGGGAAUAGCCUUCCGAAAGGGAGAUUAAUACCGCAUAAGAUUGUAGUACCGCAUGGUACAGCAAUUAAAGGAGCAAUCCGCUAUGAGAUGGGCCCGCGGCGCAUUAGCUAGUUGGUGAGGUAACGGCUCACCAAGGCGACGAUGCGUAGCCGACCUGAGAGGGUGAUCGGCCACAUUGGGACUGAGACACGGCCCAGACUCCUACGGGAGGCAGCAGUGGGGAAUAUUGCACAAUGGGGGAAACCCUGAUGCAGCAACGCCGCGUGAGUGAUGACGGCCUUCGGGUUGUAAAGCUCUGUCUUCAGGGACGAUAAUGACGGUA
RNAcentral lists this ribosomal RNA (434 nucleotides) under uncultured bacterium. RNAcentral describes it as "bacterial SSU rRNA". It matches the Rfam family "Bacterial small subunit ribosomal RNA", at positions 28 to 477 of the family's 1533-position model. The record is from RNAcentral.